Molecule: long non-coding RNA, 509 nt
Organism: Bombina bombina (fire-bellied toad)
Lineage: Eukaryota; Metazoa; Chordata; Amphibia; Anura; Bombinatoridae
Exons: 3
Source: RefSeq, a predicted model, not a curated record
GAUCUCCGUCUUUCUUUAAGUUGACAGCAAUAAUGUGCAAAGUGGGAUGGACUCUGCUUGUAUAUAUAGCAGGUAUACUUACUGGCUACAGCACAAACUAGUCUGCAGGCACUGGAAGUUUUAUAUCCUUUGUUAAAGGAGCCUCAAUGCACUACUGGGGACUAACUAAACACUUCAGGUACUUGUCAGAACUAAAGAAGACAGAAGAAUAUAUGAAAUUAUAAGCAUCGCUAUAAUUAUUAUUUUAUAUGCAACUGAAUAUAAUAUUAUGGGGCUCUGCAGGCAAAUUUAUUUUACCAUGUUUUAAUUUAAGGGGGCUACCUAAGUCGAUGUUUUUUUUUCGACCAUAAAAACAAAAUGAGUGAAUUUGUACUUACCCCAUUUACAAAAGAAAUGAUGUAGAACUCCAUGAUAGUGAAAUCAAGCAAAACAACUUUGAAAAAUUGUUAUCAUCUAAAGAUUUUCUUAGUUGGAAACUGCAAAAGAAUGAAACACAAGUAUAAAAUGGC